CUUCCUCUUCUCUUCUCUCCGCACUGCGUUGCAACCGCGAGGUAGCGGCUCGGCUCGGACAUUUGCACCAGCCCAGCCAGCUCGGGAAUUUUUAUUCCUAUUAUUUUUAUUUAUUUUUCUUGGUGCCUUAUUUAUUUAUUUUUUUAAAUUUAUUUUUGUAUUUAUUUUUUUUAGGCUCUUUCUCUUUUAGCCCACAAAUGCACGGGUGCGUGCGCGCAUCACGCGGACAGCCGCCGCGAACAGAGCCGUGAUGGGACGCCGGAGCUCCGGGAGAUGCGCGACUUCGGCCGCGCCGCUGCUGCCGCUUCUGGUGCUUCUUCUCCCGGCCACCGCGCUCGGCCGAGGAUUUGAUGACCUUUUUCAAGUCCUAAGUGCCUGGAUGGAUGGAAUGAAAAGCCUAAAAAGCUUCCAAGCGUGUGAGAGACGACAGACGAGAGGCGUCCGCGGUGAGAGCCAGCAGCAUGGUCCGUCCGGCACGCUGCCGCGCUUCGUGGAGGAGCCGGUGGACGCGUACAUCAUCAAGAGCAACCCCAUCAAGCUGCGUUGCCAGGCCCGGCCCGCCCUGCAGAUCUUCUUCAAGUGCAACGGCGAGUGGGUCCACCAGAGCCAGCACACGUCCCGCGAGCACACCGACCUGGGAACAGGGCUGAAGAUCCGUGAGGUGAUGAUCAACGUGUCCCGCCAGCAGGUGGAGGACUUCCAUGGUCCUGAGGACUACUGGUGCCUCUGCGUCGCCUGGAGCCACCUAGGAACAUCCAAAAGCCGUAAGGCGUCCGUGCGGAUCGCCUACCUGAGGAAGAACUUUGAGCAGGACCCUCAAGGCUCGGAGGUGCCACUGAGCGGCAUGAUCGUGUUGCAUUGUCGGCCACCAGAUGGCGUGCCUGUGGCCCAGGUGGAAUGGCUGAAAAACGAUGAGCUUUUGAGCGCCGGCAGUGGCGACACCAAAGGCGAUCACCAUCUGGUCAUCUCUCAGGCGCACCUCUCCGAUUCAGGAAACUACACCUGUGUCGCUAGCAACAUCGUGGCCAAGCGGCGCAGCGCCACGGCUGCUGUCGCCGUGUACGUGAAUGGCGGCUGGUCGUCAUGGAGCGACUGGUCGGCGUGCAACGUACGCUGCGGCCGCGGCGUCCACAAGCGCUCCCGCACGUGCACCAACCCGGCGCCGCUCAACGGCGGCUCCUUCUGCGACGGCGCGUCGGUGCAGAAGAGCGCCUGCAUGGCGCCGUGCCCGGUGGAUGGCGGCUGGGGCGCGUGGACCGAGUGGUCGGCGUGCGGUGGCGACUGUGAGAGGAGACGGAGCCGCGAGUGCACGGCGCCCCAGCCCAAGCACGGCGGGCGGCUGUGUGAUGGUGUGGCGCUGGCUACCGACAACUGCACCGGAGACCUCUGCACGCAAAAUGGAAAAUUGCUGCGUGAUGCCAAGCCACAAGGUGUGAUAGAAAACGGAGUCGGCAGCGUCGGCGGUGGCGGCGGCAGCGACGUGGCGCUGUACUCGGGCCUGGCGGCCGGCGCUGCGACGGUGGCGCUGCUGAUCGUUGGCGUCACCGUGUACCGACGCAGCCGCAGCGACUACGGCGUGGACGUCAUCGAGUCGUCCGCCCUCGCCGGAGGUUUCCAGUCCUUCAACUUCAAGACGUCGCGGCAAGAAUCAUUGCUUUCCGCAGGCAACUCUCUGCUGAUCCACUCGUCGCUGCAGCCCGACCUGAGCGUGUCUCGCACGUACACCAGUCCCAUGUGUUUCCACGACGCCAUGGACAAGGAGCUCCUGGACCCCCUGCCCGAUCUCAAGAUCAAAGGGAUCACAGAGGGUCCCGACUUCCACCCUCAGACGUUCCCGAGGGGCCUGUCCCCAGAUUACCGGGCCGUCGUCGUGGGCGCCACGCUGAGCCGAGGAGAGAGGAACCUGUUUGGCCCUGUCAGGCCGCGACACAAAGCCACGGCCGUGUUGGGCCACGCCGGGGGACGCCUGGUGGUGCCGAACACAGGCGUAAGUCUGCUGGUGCCCGUCGGGGGGAUCGCUCAUGACACCACAUGGGAGACCACCGUUAUCGUCAACCAGGAGGACAGCAGCUCAACACUGGGCGAAGGAUCAGAGAUCUUCCUGAGUCCCGCCGUCACGUACGGUCCGCCGGGGCUGGAGCUGUCCUGCCCCGUGGUCCUGUCCAUGCCGCACUGCGCCGAGGCGGCCGCCGACCACUGGAUCACACGACUGAAGAGGCAGACGCAGGACCGCAAGUGGGAGGAAGUAAUGUGCGUGCAGGAGGAGUGCACUUCCUGCUACUGCCUGCUGGAGGCGCAGCGCUGCCACGUGCUGCUGGAGCGGCCCGGUCGCUACGCCCUUGUGGGCGAGCCGCUACGACCGCACGCCGCCAAGCGCCUGCGACUGGCCGCCUUUGGAAGCCCGGACACCGCCGACCCAAUGGGCUUCAUCCUCAGGGUCUACUGCGUGGAUGACACGCCGCACGCUUUCCAAGAGGUGACGGCAGUCGAGCGCGCCCAAGGCGGGCGCCUGCUGGAGGAGCCCAAAGUGUUGUCAUUCCGUGGGAACGCGCUCAGCCUGCAAGUCAACAUCCAGGAUGUCAUGCAGAUGUUGUGGAACAUCAAGCCUUUCACCACCUGCCAGGAGUUCUCCUUCUGUCAGGUGUGGUGGGGCAAACAGCGCCCCCUGCAGUGUGCCUUCUCCCUGGAGCGUAUCAGCACCUCCUCCUCCUCUUCAUCCUCAUCUCAUCUCUCGUGUAAGAUCAGUGUGCGUCAGGUUCAAGGUGAAGAGCAAAUCCUGCAGGUCUACACGACAGUGCAGCCCGAGAACCCAAAGCUAGCGGUCCCGUUCUCCUCUGAGUCCGACUGUUGCGUCACCUCCCAGGCAGGAUCGCGGGCCUUCAAGAUCCCGCUCUCCAUCCGCCAGAGGAUCAGCGCCACCUUUGACGGCAGCAACGCCAAGGGCAAGGACUGGCGCCUCUUAGCCCAGAAGCUGGACGUGGACAGAUGCGGAGGCGUGCAGGAGAGCUGGCGGGACGGCGUUCCGGAACUUGGCCUACUUCGCCCGCCACGAAAGUCCGGCAUCAGUGAUCCUGAGCCUGUGGGAGGCUCAGCAGCAGGACUCGGCCGACCUGGACUCCCUGGCCAGUGCCCUAGAGGAGAUCGGCCGGGUGCAGUCGCCCCCCGGGAGUGCAGGCAAUGACAUGCGUGGUUCCCUAAACUCGGCAAGGACUGCAGAUUGAAAUCCCAGACAACUGCAUGAAUGCUGAGGAGCGAACACUAGCAGGGACUUCCUGGAAUAAUACGGAAGCUCCUUUGAGACGGUAACAAACGUCAAGGUGAGGUUUGUGUUGUCGGGAGGGACGGACAACAAGCGUCCAUCUUGGAGAGAUGACUUCCUGUUCCUCUUCCCGUGGGCGUGCAAAACAUUUAGUGUGACGUCAUGUUGUCAUUUUUUGCUUUUGCGUCGUGUCUUUAAUUGUGCGAAAAGUGGAGGUAAUAACAAACGCAAAACAGUGGAGACUUGAUGCUAAACGUGCUAAAAAAAACUAAUUAAAAAAAAAAAGGUAGCAUGAGGAAGAUUUUUUUCCCGCUGAAAGGUAUUUUACCUUGGACCACAACCUGCUCCACUUGCUCCCAACAGAAUAAAGUGGCUUUAUGUCCAAAUGUGUGUCGGUCUCCCUUCUCACCGUCCGUAAUACUGUGUCAAAAGGCAUUUGUAAUCUGGAUACAAUCUGGUGUGGACAUAGCGGGUUUUGAGCACAAAACAUCAAAGGUCAUGUGACUCAUCAAACCGAUGACAUCAGAUGGUCUCAGACAAAGGCCGCAUUCCUGUGCAGCGUGUUAAUCCGCUGUGUUAACGUUCAACCAGACUCAACAAGCUAAGCGGGCGCGGACGGGCCCCUUUGCCACCUCUGCCGGUUCCAGCCGCCGGCCGGGAUGCGAUGAGCUGCUGAGUCCGCAAGAAGACUUUCCAGAAGCUUCUGCCAGCAGUCUCGCUGGCUUCCAAACCCCCCAAAAUCCUCCGUAAAUCCUACCAAGGCCUCAAUGGGUUCCGUGACGCAAAGACAAGAUGACGCUAACCAUGUUGGCUACACGAUUCUAAACUUGGAAGAAACUACUAGUUUUAUUAGUCAAGUUAGGAGAUCCUAAUUUAGCAAGAAGCUCGUUUAGUCACUACCUGACACUAAACAAGUUGGCUACAAGAUGCUAAACUUGGAAGAUACCAUUCAUAUUUGGUAGUAAAGUAAGCAGAUCCUAAAUUUUAAAGAGGCUACUUUAGUCGCUACCUGAUGCUAACAACAUUGGCUAAAUUGCUGA
Molecule: RNA transcript, 4299 nt
Organism: Phyllopteryx taeniolatus (common seadragon)
Lineage: Eukaryota; Metazoa; Chordata; Actinopteri; Syngnathiformes; Syngnathidae
Gene name: netrin receptor UNC5D-like
Exons: 21
Source: RefSeq, a predicted model, not a curated record